UACGUAGGGUGCAAGCGUUGUCCGGAAUUAUUGGGCGUAAAGAGCUCGUAGGUGGCGUGUCGCGUCUGCUGUGAAAACUCGGGGCUUAACCCCGGGCCUGCAGUGGGUACGGGCAGACUAGAGUGCGGUAGGGGAGACUGGAAUUCCUGGUGUAGCGGUGAAAUGCGCAGAUAUCAGGAGGAACACCGGUGGCGAAGGCGGGUCUCUGGGCCGUAACUGACGCUGAGGAGCGAAAGCAUGGGGAGCGAACAGG
RNAcentral lists this ribosomal RNA (253 nucleotides) under uncultured bacterium. Its description in RNAcentral is "partial 16S ribosomal RNA". It matches the Rfam family "Bacterial small subunit ribosomal RNA", at positions 524 to 776 of the family's 1533-position model. The record is from RNAcentral.